RNAcentral lists this ribosomal RNA (1569 nucleotides) under Triticum aestivum (bread wheat). RNAcentral's name for it is "partial small subunit ribosomal RNA". Lineage: Eukaryota; Viridiplantae; Streptophyta; Magnoliopsida; Poales; Poaceae. The record is from RNAcentral.
AUGGCUUCCGGCGGGAACCCGCAGUUCCGGUACACCCAGCCUCCAUCGAAGGUGAUACACGUGAGGAACCUGCCGUGGGAGUGCACCGACGAGGAGCUGACCGAGCUGGGGAGCCUCUUCGGCAAGGUCGUCAAUACCAAGUGCAACGUCGGCGCCAACAGGAACCAGGCGUUCAUCGAAUUCGCUGACCAAAAUCAGGCAAUUGCUAUGAUAUCAUACUAUGCAUCAUCAGCGGAGCCAGCACAGGUAAGAGGCAAGAAUGUGUACCUUCAGUACUCCAAUAGACAGGAGAUUGUCAACAGCAAGAAUACCGGGGAUGCUGCAGGCAAUGUUUUGCUAGUGACAAUGGAGGGUGUUCUGCCAGAUGCUGUCAGCAUAGAUGUUCUACACUUGGUAUUUUCUGCUUUUGGAUAUGUUCACAAGAUUGCUACCUUUGAAAAGGCAUCUGGUUAUCAGGCGUUGAUACAAUUUUCUGAUGCUGAGACCGCGUCAUCUGCAAAAGCUGCUCUGGAUGGCAGAUGCAUUCCUAGCUACUUGCUUCCAGAACUUGAUGGGUCCUGCACUUUAAGAAUAAAUUAUUCAGCACACUCUGUUCUAAAUGUCAAGUUUCAGAGUCAUAGGAGUAGGGAUUAUACAAACCCAUACCUUCCCCUUGCACCUUCUGCUAUUGAUGGAUCUGGAGUGGCCCAGGAUGGGAAGAAGGAGGAGCCAGAGAGCAAUGUUCUGCUUGCGUCAGUUGAGAAUAUGCAGUAUAUUGUUACAAUUGAUGCUCUUCACGAGGUCUUCUCUGCUUUUGGGUUUGUACAAAAGAUUGCUAUUUUUGAGAAGAACUCUGGCUUCCAUGCACUAAUCCAGUAUCCAGAUAUUCAAACUGCAGUUAAAGCAAGAGAAGCAUUAGAAGGACACAGCAUCUAUGAAGGCGGAUAUUGCAAGCUUCACCUCGCGUUUUCACGCCAUACCGAUCUUAAUGUUAGGAUCAACAAUGAGCGAGGUCGAGAUUACACUGGGGGGAACAGUGCUCCAGCUAACCAUGAACCUUCCAUUCUUGGCCCUCAGCCAAUUGGCUCUACUGCGCCACCAUACAGCAGUGCUCCUUCCGCAGCAGCUGACGUAGUAGCAGCACCAGGGACUACAUCUAUUCUGGCAACACCAGGAGCACCAUCCCUUCCUUCCAGUCAGCCACACCCACAAGCCGCUUCAGGUGGACCUCAACAGUACGCCAGCCAGGGAGUCCUACAAGGCUAUGGAGCCCCAGGGUUCCCGCAAGGCCCAAAUCAAGCUCAAAUGUCACAGCAUUCAGGCCAAGGAAAUCAACAGAUGCCCAACCAUCAAGCGAUGUCGUUCCCUGGCCAUGGAAGGCAGCAGCUACCUCCAGGUCCUCAAAUGAUGCAAGGUCCAGGUUAUAGAGGCCCGCCGUUUCCACAAGGUCAUAUGCAAUCAAUGCCGCAGUUUCCAGUAUAUGGCAAUCAGCAGUUUCCUCCUGGUGCCGGGCCGCAGAUGAUGGGCUUCCCCGGACAGGGAGGUCAGUAUCCUCCAUUUGGUAGGCCGCUUCAUCCGUAUAACCGUUAG